This 279-nucleotide ribosomal RNA is filed under the name uncultured bacterium. RNAcentral's name for it is "partial 16S ribosomal RNA". It matches the Rfam family "Bacterial small subunit ribosomal RNA", at positions 506 to 784 of the family's 1533-position model. The record is from RNAcentral.
UGCCAGCCGCCGCGGUAAUACGAAGGGACCUAUGGGAAUUCGGAAUUACUGUGCUUAAAGAGUUCGUAGGUGGUUAAAAAAGUUGGUGGUGAAAUCCCAGAGCUUAACUCUGGAACUGCCAUCAAAACUUUUUAGCUAGAGUAUGAUAGAGGAAAGCAGAAUUUCUAGUGUAGAGGUGAAAUUCGUAGAUAUUAGAAAGAAUACCAAUUGCGAAGGCAGCUUUCUGGAUCAUUAAUGACACUGAGGAAAGAACGCGUGGGUAGCGAAGAGGAGUAGAUA